Molecule: ribosomal RNA, 490 nt
Filed under: uncultured bacterium
Lineage: Bacteria
Description: partial 16S ribosomal RNA
Rfam family: Bacterial small subunit ribosomal RNA
Source: RNAcentral
AUUGAACGCUGGCGGCAGGCCUAACACAUGCAAGUCGAACGGUAACAGGAAGCAGCUUGCUGCUUUGCUGACGAGUGGCGGACGGGUGAGUAAUGUCUGGGAAACUGCCUGAUGGAGGGGGAUAACUACUGGAAACGGUAGCUAAUACCGCAUAACGUCGCAAGACCAAAGAGGGGGACCUUCGGGCCUCUUGCCAUCGGAUGUGCCCAGAUGGGAUUAGCUAGUAGGUGGGGUAACGGCUCACCUAGGCGACGAUCCCUAGCUGGUCUGAGAGGAUGACCAGCCACACUGGAACUGAGACACGGUCCAGACUCCUACGGGAGGCAGCAGUGGGGAAUAUUGCACAAUGGGCGCAAGCCUGAUGCAGCCAUGCCGCGUGUAUGAAGAAGGCCUUCGGGUUGUAAAGUACUUUCAGCGGGGAGGAAGAGAGUAAAGUUAAUACCUUUGCUCAUUGACGUUACCCGCAGAAGAAGCACCGGCUAACUCCGUG